RNAcentral lists this ribosomal RNA (487 nucleotides) under uncultured bacterium. Its description in RNAcentral is "bacterial SSU rRNA". It matches the Rfam family "Bacterial small subunit ribosomal RNA", at positions 30 to 517 of the family's 1533-position model. The record is from RNAcentral.
AUUGAACGCUGGCGGCAGGCCUAACACAUGCAAGUCGAGCGCGAAAGUCUUCGGAUGAGUAAAGCGGCGAACGGGUGAGUAAUGCAUGGGAAUCUGCCUGGUAGUGGGGGACAACGUCUCGAAAGGGACGCUAAUACCGCAUACGCCCUACGGGGGAAAGGGGGGGAUCUUCGGACCUCUCGCUAUCAGAUGAGCCCAUGUCAGAUUAGCUAGUUGGUGAGGUAAAGGCUCACCAAGGCGACGAUCUGUAACUGGUCUGAGAGGAUGAUCAGUCACACUGGAACUGAGACACGGUCCAGACUCCUACGGGAGCAGCAGUGGGAAUAUUGGACAAUGGGGGCAACCCUGAUCCAGCCAUGCCGCGUGUGUGAAGAAGGCCCUAGGGUUGUAAAGCACUUUCAGUGGGGAGAAAGGUUAUUCACCUAAUACGUGAGUAGAUUGAUGUUACCCACAGAAGAAGCACCGGCUAACUCCGUGCCAGCAGCCG